RNAcentral lists this ribosomal RNA (468 nucleotides) under uncultured bacterium. RNAcentral's name for it is "partial 16S ribosomal RNA". It matches the Rfam family "Bacterial small subunit ribosomal RNA", at positions 28 to 507 of the family's 1533-position model. The record is from RNAcentral.
GACGAACGCUGGCGGCGUGCUUAACACAUGCAAGUCGAACGGCAAGGCCCUGCUUUUGUGGGGUGCUCGAGUGGCGAACGGGUGAGUAACACGUGAGUAACCUGCCCUUGACUUUGGGAUAACUUCAGGAAACUGGGGCUAAUACCGGAUAGGAGCUCCUGCUGCAUGGUGGGGGUUGGAAAGUUUCGGCGGUUGGGGAUGGACUCGCGGCUUAUCAGCUUGUUGGUGGGGUAGUGGCUUACCAAGGCUUUGACGGGUAGCCGGCCUGAGAGGGUGGACGGCCACCUUGGGCCUGCGAUACGGCCCAGACUCCUACGGGAGGCAGCAGUGGGGAGUAUUGCACAAUGGGCGGAAGCCUGAUGCAGCAACGCCGCGUGCGGGAUGACGGCCUUCGGGUUGUAAACCGCUUUCGCCUGUGACGAAGCGUGAGUGACGGUAAUGGGUAAAGAAGCACCGGCUAACUACGUG